This 253-nucleotide ribosomal RNA is filed under the name uncultured bacterium. RNAcentral describes it as "partial 16S ribosomal RNA". It matches the Rfam family "Bacterial small subunit ribosomal RNA", at positions 15 to 263 of the family's 1533-position model. The record is from RNAcentral.
GAUCAUGGCUCGGGACGAACGCUGGCGGCGCGCCUAACACAUGCAAGUCGAACGGAGCUUAGAGAGCUUGCUUUUUAAGCUUAGUGGCGAACGGGUGAGUAACGCGUGAGUAACCUGCCCUAGAGUGGGGGACAACAGUUGGAAACGACUGCUAAUACCGCAUAAGCCCACGGUGCCGCAUGACACUGAGGGAAAAGGAUUUAUUCGCUUUAGGAUGGACUCGCGUCCAAUUAGCUAGUUGGUGAGGUAACGG